GGGUUUGUGCUCAAGUGAUUUGGUUUCUAUAUUCCUCUUAAUUUCUUUAUGUCCUGUAUGUAAUUCUUCAUUUUCAUGGUCAUGUUGAAGCAUGCGGAAGAAUGUUGCCAUCGCCAUCUGGCAACUAGCAAUUCCCUGAUUGCUGUGGUUGGUAGCUGACCAUAUUGAUGUUGGUAGAUCAGCUGUCAGGGCUGUUACCGUAAAGAUUUACAGUUGUGUUGUAUGCUCUGUCAGAGUCUGGAGUUCACUGCUGACUUUGUCUGCAGGGGUUUACCUGCCUUUUACGUGCACUACUCCACAACAGACCUAGGACUUCUCUAAGGAAAGUGUAUAUCUCCACAAGAUGAAUAAAUUCAUUUCUCUAGAUAGAAAUUUCACCAGUGGUAAUAUGAUGGGAAAGCAUCUUCAGGAGUUCAGCACUGAAUGCUGGAGUCCUUGCUCAUGAAAUCACUAGCAAAAUGAUUGGGAUUUGUGGUUGGUCCUAUGUUUCUGUGCUAUCUGAUGAGUUGCUCCCUAGAUAGUGAAGACCUUUUAUUUUCAAAGAAGUGAUAGAGAAAAGAGUGUAACAGUUGCAGAAGAAGGUAGCGUUUCAGCCUUCUAUGUAACGUACAAGGAGGGUACUGUUGUGUCACAGCGUAGCUGGAAGCUUUUCAUUUUUGUGUGAUUUGUGUAGUGUGUUUGCUGCAUUUACACACUUGUAAGGAAGAACUGUAACUAGGGAUUGAAACAGGAAUGAGCUUGCAAGUAUUUUCUUUGUUGCAAAUGGAGAACUGUUGUAAUUGUCUGAACCAGGUUUCAGAUACCUAUUUAUUCAAAUGUUUUAAAAUGUUUAUAAAGUCUUACUGAGUCAUAUUUUCUCAUAAAGAUCUCUGAGUUGUUAAAAACAGAGAGUUUGUUUGUUUUGGGGUUUUUGGUGGUGUUUUCUUUUUUUUACUGUUGACCACAUUGUUUUCUGUUUCAUUUUCUGUGUAUGACUGACAGGAUAAGGAUAUGCAAUGCUUUUUUUUUUUUUUUUUUAAACUCCUAUCUUUGCAUCGAACAGGAACAAUUUCUAGGGAGUGGCAGAGACGAAAGGAUUCUAAGCAAUUCGCUGCUUCAGAAAGGGGGUGGAGAUUCUGAGAAUAGAUGAAAGACAAUGUUUCAUGGACGUAAAAUGUUGUGCCUGGGUGUUUUGAGUGUACGUGUUCCGACUGGUGUUAACUGAAGAGAGGUUAAAGAUUCCAAAUCUGACCAAUGUGGUGGAUGAUGUACUCAGGAAACAUUAGGUUAAAUUUCUUUUUAGAAUUUUAUUGUAAUAGAGGAUGUCAAAGUUACUGACCUCUUUCACAAUAGUUUUAAUCCAGCUACCUGCAUGAGUUUCUUUUGAAAUUCCUGAACUGUCCAACUCGUUGCAAUUUUGGCUCCCCAGAGCAAUCUCCUUGAGGUCAGACUCCGCGGUGCCUGGAAAUGAAGUUUUUUUCAAAGAGGACAGUCACCCCACAAAGAUGUCAUGCAGAGAAAUGGCUGCUGUGAUGUGACUUUUGGUAAUGAGCGUGCUCACUGCCAGCUUCUGCAUGAGGAAGUGACAUACCAUUGUGGACCAAAUGGAAUAUUUUACGGUAUUUUGUGUAUCUUUAAACCCUAUGUCAUGGAUUAUCUGGAUCUAUCAUCAUCCACUCAAAGCUCAAAUAAAAGCCUGUGAAUGUGAACCUUUAAACUUUAGGUUGAAAGGCAAACAAAAAGUAUUGUAUUUGAAAUUAAGUUUUAAUUUUAAUAAAAUUACCUGUCAGUACAAA
This is a long non-coding RNA of Calidris pugnax (ruff), 1775 nucleotides long. RefSeq lists it as uncharacterized. NCBI's taxonomy places the organism in Eukaryota, Metazoa, Chordata, Aves, Charadriiformes, Scolopacidae. The transcript is spliced from 2 exons. The record is from RefSeq and is a predicted model, not a curated record.